RNAcentral lists this ribosomal RNA (433 nucleotides) under uncultured bacterium. RNAcentral describes it as "partial 16S ribosomal RNA". It matches the Rfam family "Bacterial small subunit ribosomal RNA", at positions 29 to 507 of the family's 1533-position model. The record is from RNAcentral.
AACGAACGCUGGCGGCAUGCCUAACACAUGCAAGUCGAACGAGACCUUCGGGUCUAGUGGCGCACGGGUGCGUAACGCGUGGGAACCUGCCCUUAGGUUCGGAAUAACUCCCCGAAAGGGGUGCUAAUACCGGAUAAUGUCUUCGGACCAAAGAUUUAUCGCCUUUGGAUGGGCCCGCGUUGGACUAGCUAGUUGGUAGGGUAAAAGCCUACCAAGGCGACGAUCCAUAGCUGGUCUGGGAGGAUGAUCAGCCACACUGGGACUGAGACACGGCCCAGACUCCUACGGGAGGCAGCAGUGGGGAAUAUUGGACAAUGGGCGAAAGCCUGAUCCAGCAAUGCCGCGUGAGUGAUGAAGGCCUUAGGGUUGUAAAGCUCUUUUACCCGGGAUGAUAAUGACAGUACCGGGAGAAUAAGCUCCGGCUAACUCCGUG